AACGCUAGCUACAGGCUUAACACAUGCAAGUCGAGGGGAAACGACAUCGAAAGCUUGCUUUUGAUGGGCGUCGACCGGCGCACGGGUGAGUAACGCGUAUCCAACCUGCCCAUCACUUGGGGAUAACCUUGCGAAAGUAAGACUAAUACCCGAUGAUAUCUCUAGACGACAUCUGAAAGGGAUUAAAGAUUUAUCGGUGAUGGAUGGGGAUGCGUCUGAUUAGCUUGUUGGCGGGGUAACGGCCCACCAAGGCAACGAUCAGUAGGGGUUCUGAGAGGAAGGUCCCCCACAUUGGAACUGAGACACGGUCCAAACUCCUACGGGAGGCAGCAGUGAGGAAUAUUGGUCAAUGGGCGAGAGCCUGAACCAGCCAAGUAGCGUGCAGGAUGACGGCCCUAUGGGUUGUGAACUGCUUUUAUAAGGGAAUAAAGUGAGUCUCGUGAGACUUUUUGCAUGUACCUUAUGAAUAAGGACCGGCUAAUUCCGUGCCAGCAGCCGCGGUAAUACGGAAGGUCCGGGCGUUAUCCGGAUUUAUUGGGUUUAAAGGGAGCGUAGGCCGGAGAUUAAGCGUGUUGUGAAAUGUAGUGGCUCAACCUCUGCACUGCAGCGCGAACUGGUCUUCUUGAGUACGCACAACGUGGGCGGAAUUCGUGGUGUAGCGGUGAAAUGCUUAGAUAUCACGAAGAACUCCGAUUG
RNAcentral lists this ribosomal RNA (696 nucleotides) under uncultured bacterium. RNAcentral's name for it is "bacterial SSU rRNA". It matches the Rfam family "Bacterial small subunit ribosomal RNA", at positions 32 to 715 of the family's 1533-position model. The record is from RNAcentral.